AGGAUCAUCAAUUUAUUACCUACCAAUAAGGAGCAUUUAACAAAGUUCAAUUAUGUGCAUCACAAAAAUAAAAAUUAUUUAUUUGUGCCUUCAAGACAUAGUAUUUAGGUCUAUAUAACUUUUGCUCUUUGCAAAUCUUUAGAAAAGUAACAUUGUGGUGUUGUUUCAGAGGGUCAGUGAACGCUGCGGAUUGCCAGAUCCCGUGAUCGGAACUAUGUAUAGAGCGACUACCCCGCGGGAGGUGACAGUGGUGGAUGGUGUACUACUAAUAAUAGACUCCCCUCCAGCGCGCGAUCAUCGGAACGCUGACGGGAGCGCACACAUGUGGCGCUCGUCGUCGUCGUGCUUUAGAGGUGCCCAUUUAUUUUCGAAACGGUCGUCACGCGGCGCGGUUCCCGGUGUUCCUUACAUAAGAACCUUCGACAUCUUCGCUAUAGGCUCCGGCGUGCAUAGCGGCAAACGCAAUACGCAAGCUGCAGGUCGGUGCACGUUCGGGUAACCGAUCCGAUGGACGCCCGCCGUCCGUUCUAUUUCGGGAAAAUACAAAUUUGGAAUGGAUGGGACUCGUGAGUUGUAAGCGAACUCCGCCGGUGAUUCCAUUUUUAGAGCUGGGCUGCGCGUGCGCAUCGAGAGCGCUGCCAGUGCUCGACGAGCUGCCACCACGCCGCGUCGCUCGUCACCCCCGCCGCCCUACCACUGCCAGGGCGCUAUCUCCAUCCAAGAGAUGGCGUCAUGUAUCGCACUACCGAGGGCGAGGGAUCAAAGUUACGAUUUGGACAAUGACAAUGGACACGCAUUGUGACCCGGAUCACUCACACUACGACGAAAAGGCGCGGCCGCUGACAUCUUGUAGUCUACGACAUACUAAAAGUGAUUUAAAAAAGAGCUUCACCAACGAACAUUACCCCGUACAAUUUUCAAUGCAAUAGAUUAAAUAAUAAUUACAAUGCCACAAAUCCAGAAUCUACCCGAUCCGCGCCCUUUUGAUAGUGCACGCCUUUUACUAUCGCACAAAAGACUACCUCUAUGAGAAAAGGAUCUUGACCUACCAGUUUGUUCAGAAUGUUCGACACUCAAAAACAAUUUAUUCAUGCAUCCAUGCAGCGACGACCGCUAACAAAAGAAUAAAAUAUAGACGGAGGGGUAUAAUGAAUACUAGACAAAGACUAUUUUAAUAGUGUUACUUGCGCGAAAUAUAUUUUUAUGUAUGACUCUACAAGUAAACGUUCUUUUGUUGGAGGAAUAAUUAUGGUGUAAGUAAAACAUGCGACUCGAUAAUGUAAUGUAGAUUUUAUGUAGUUCAGAAAUGGUAAGAUCUUUUCUAGUGCCCAUACGUUUCUGUUAUACAUGAAUGACUCGCUCAUCGUAGCAUUGUUCCAAAGACCGUUAAGUCCUGCCCAUCCGCCUUAAUUGUCAUAAAUCACAUAAUUUGCUUUAUAAAAGUAAUUUUUAAGAUAAGAAUUAAAUAGGCCUAUAAUUACAGAGCCCUUUUAUGGUAUGUUUUCGGAAAAGACAAUUUUUGGCUUGAAUUAUUUAGUUUAUAAAAACAAUCUAUAAUAAAUAAAUUAAAUUUCUUUCCAAUUAUAAUUCAAAAAAGAGCAAAUACGAUUUUUUAUCCUUGAUGCAGUUUAGAGCAGUGUUCUUACAGAGACACGCCGUUCGAGAUGACUGAGCGGCGGUGAAAUACAAACUAUUGAUUUUAUAUCCCAAUACAAUGAGUUGAACACUAUAUUGAUGUACUAAUAAUUAUUAUGCCACACUAUUUAUUUAUUAUUUUGAUCUGACGUAUUUGAUGAACUGAUGUUAAAAUAAUUCGAUUUUUUUUUUCGUAAGUAAUUAAUGUCACUAAAUUUUAAUACAAUUUACAGGCACUUACAAUGGAAAGGAGAAGAUAUAAUUUUAUAGCGUUUUAUGUUUUCACUAAUUUUAAAAGUUAAUUGAGAAGGAAUAUUUAAAAAAAAUUAAAGAACUAUAGUUUCUAAAUAAAAUCUAGAACAUCUCUUUGUGUUAUCGGUUUUCACAAAAAAAUAUAAUGUUUGAAAUACAUAGAUAUAAUUUUACGUAAUUCUUCAAUUAAAACAUGAACUAAGAAAAGAGACGGUGUUAGGUGAAUACCGAAACUAUAUUUUUAAAUAUAACUAGUACUAUUGAACGCACGAAUGUAUCAUUAGCUGCUCUGAAUCAAGUAUUUGUGGUGAUGUACUGUUAGUGAGAGAUGUGAGAUGUGAUCAUGAGAGUGAUAAAGUUUUAUUAUAAUAUAAUACAUAAUUGAUUUAGUUUUAUUUAGAUUUUAAAGUUUGUAUAUCGCUCGUCCUAAUAAGUUAAAGCUCUCUAAAAUACACAGGGUAUAUACGAUUGGUACGGUUACUGUUGGUAUUUUAGGAAAACACUUCUGCCAUCCAUACGGUGAUACUCGAUCUGUUGGACAACUUAAUAUGUUAUCAUAACGUAAUAUAUCAUUAUCAUAUCAUAACAUAAUAUUCACAUCAACAUAAUUUAACUAUAUUUAAGUUAUUCAUUUAUUGAAAAGAGACUAUUAAAAUUAAAAAAAUUGUUUUAAAAUAAUAGUUUUUGAGGUAAAAUUCAAGAUGUUACAACGUACGAAAAAAUCUUUAAUUUAUGAAAGAAGAAAACCAAAAUUAAAUGAAACAUUAAAUUAUUUACUGUUUCGUAUAAGAUACUUUAAUACAAUAUCUCUAUAAGCUAGUAAAAAUCGCAUAUCUCUUAAAUCGUAUAUAAUCCAUACUCAAUAUGAGGUUAUCGAUCUUUCUUGUGGGAUAAAGAUAGAUUGAAGAUGCAUGAUUUUUUUUAUUGUCGCUCACCAGAUUAUAGGGGAAAAAAUGUAUAGCCUUUCGUUGGAGCAUAUUAUGUCGCGCGUACUCCAUCAAGUUUUAAUCCGAUGGGUCUUGGUUUGCUACACUAUGUUGAAAUUAUCUUACUGAAUUACAACUCGAGGCGUAUGCAGGCGGGUAAAAACAUCCGUAAACAAGAAAUUUUUAACUACAUAUUUGCAAACAAUGUUAAUCUGAGUAUAAGUCAACAGGGAACUUUGUAAUGUCUCCAAACGAGGUUAGUUCUCUAGUUUUUCAUACUAUAGUAUUAUUCUUCCAACUUCAUAAAGUGCUGGAGACUCGAUUGCUUGUCUUUAAAAUACAAAGAGACGAUAAACCUACGACAAUAAAGUUUUGUUUUGAGUA
Bombyx mori (domestic silkworm) is the source of this 3197-nucleotide long non-coding RNA. RefSeq lists it as uncharacterized. The record is from RefSeq and is a predicted model, not a curated record. NCBI's taxonomy places the organism in Eukaryota, Metazoa, Arthropoda, Insecta, Lepidoptera, Bombycidae. The transcript is spliced from 2 exons.